GCCAGUUAUAGUAAAAAGUCAGCCAAUAUGCUAUACUUGUGUUUGAUUUUACAUUGGGUGUAAUCCUUGUUGUAAUUGAAUUUUUAAUUUAUUUUAAGCCCGCUACUAAUGGUUUAAUGGAAAGGUGGGUUAAAUGUUCCCUUUUCUGUUAGGCUUCAUUAUGUAAUAGAGACUUAAAUUCUGGUGAGAUUCUAGCUAGAUUUGGCAACGAUAUUCUUGCUAGAUUUGGCAACG
Molecule: unclassified non-coding RNA, 234 nt
Filed under: Hevea brasiliensis (rubber tree)
Lineage: Eukaryota; Viridiplantae; Streptophyta; Magnoliopsida; Malpighiales; Euphorbiaceae
Source: RNAcentral